UGAAUUAAUAUAUUUGACACCACCGCUAUGUAAGGCGUGGAAUUUAACCACAAACUACCGGGCGCGCGACCAGAAUUAUUUUUUAUUUAUUUUUGGCGGGGGGUCCAAACAUAAAAUUUAUCGCCGACUACUAAUAUAAUCGUACCGGCAAUUAUAUUUUUUUUUGAAAGAAGCUUAAAUUUCGUUUGGGGGGGGGGUUAAGACCCCUAUGGACACGUCGCCCUUGCUACGCGCCGGCAGACUGUAUACGUAUAUACGAGUUCGGAACGUUUUAUGAUUGUACGAUGAUGCAUAAUUGGACAUUUAUUUCGAAUAACACUUAUCAUCUCGAAUACUUCGUAGCCAUUCGGAAGAAUCGUAUGUUUUGUGUUCGGUAUACGUUACGAACCACGGUUUUUGUUAUUAUUUUUUCUAUCGAAACGACACGUAAAAAUCGACCACAUUUCAUACUGCCGAAUUUCCUAGCCGUACCGUUUACAACAAUUACAUUUUUUUAAAUAUCGCCUAGAAAAAAAAAAAAAAUGAGAAUUUUUAUAAUUUAAAUAAUGAAAAAUCCGUGCGAUAUAAUUGUCGACAGUAUAAAUUAAUAUAAGGCCCCGGUCGGAUUAUUCGGUUGAAAACAUUUGACUUUUGAUAAAAGCGUUUUAUUUCGUUUCCCG
Molecule: non-coding RNA, 659 nt
Organism: Cinara cedri
Lineage: Eukaryota; Metazoa; Arthropoda; Insecta; Hemiptera; Aphididae
Source: the annotation of a GenBank genome assembly